This 226-nucleotide ribosomal RNA is filed under the name uncultured Caminicella sp. RNAcentral describes it as "partial 16S ribosomal RNA". It matches the Rfam family "Bacterial small subunit ribosomal RNA", at positions 355 to 597 of the family's 1533-position model. The record is from RNAcentral. Lineage: Bacteria; Bacillati; Bacillota; Clostridia; Peptostreptococcales; Caminicellaceae.
UGGGGAAUAUUGCACAAUGGGGGAAACCCUGAUGCAGCAACGCCGCGUGAGCGAAGAAGGCCUUCGGGUCGUAAAGCUCUGUCCUAAGGGAAGAAUAAUGACGGUACCUUAGGAGGAAGCCCCGGCUAACUACGUGCCAGCAGCCGCGGUAAUACGUAGGGGGCAAGCGUUAUCCGGAAUCACUGGGCGUAAAGGGUGCGUAGGCGGCUAAUCAAGCCAGGGGUGA